Molecule: ribosomal RNA, 496 nt
Filed under: uncultured bacterium
Lineage: Bacteria
Description: partial 16S ribosomal RNA
Rfam family: Bacterial small subunit ribosomal RNA
Source: RNAcentral
GAUGAACGCUGGCGGCGUGCCUAAUACAUGCAAGUCGAGCGAACGGACGAGAAGCUUGCUUCUCUGAUGUUAGCGGCGGACGGGUGAGUAACACGUGGAUAACCUACCUAUAAGACUGGGAUAACUUCGGGAAACCGGAGCUAAUACCGGAUAAUAUUUUGAACCGCAUGGUUCAAAAGUGAAAGACGGUCUUGCUGUCACUUAUAGAUGGAUCCGCGCUGCAUUAGCUAGUUGGUAAGGUAACGGCUUACCAAGGCAACGAUGCAUAGCCGACCUGAGAGGGUGAUCGGCCACACGGGAACUGAGCCCCGGCCCAGACCCCUACGGGAGGCAGCAGUGGGGAAUUUUCCGCAAUGGGCGAAAGCCUGAAGGAGCAACGCCGCGUGGGUGAUGAAGGUCUUCGGAUCGUAAAACUCUGUUAUUGGGGAAAAAAAUAUGUGUAAGUAACUGGGCAAAUCUUGAGGGUACCUAAACAGAAAGCCCCGGCUAACUACGU